UUGUAGGUUUUGAAUUCGUCAGUGGAAAUACAGGGGGCCUUAUCGUUUCUUGAGAUUAGGAUUUUCAAGGCUGCUCACGUGACAUCGUCAACACCUCUGAUGGACUUGCAAAGGGUCACAAUACCAUGGACAACGCCUAACACAAAAGCCCUGAGUGGGUUUUCAGCAAUAUGUUUCAUGUUUGGAGAGCGCAUGUACCCUCACCUGAACUAACCUAUUGGAUUAGUGGAAGCUGACGUUGGCGGCACUGCCAUCAAUUGGUGGUCUUCACCAGAAGUGGUGUCCAAGUGCAGCAGUCAGGGGAAACGAGGAUGGCCUCCAAAGAACUACGAACUGUGGAACGCAAUCAUAAGUCCCCUCCUUCCACUCUCGAUAUAUGGUGUUCUUUGGUAUCAAGGUGAAAAUGACAUUGGUUCCGCCAGUAGAUACGCCUGCACCUUUCCCAUAAUGAUUGAAGACUGGAAAAAACACUGGCAUCUGGAGUCCAUGGGGGA
Molecule: long non-coding RNA, 494 nt
Filed under: Haliotis rufescens (red abalone)
Lineage: Eukaryota; Metazoa; Mollusca; Gastropoda; Lepetellida; Haliotidae
Description: uncharacterized LOC125373538, transcript variant X2
Source: RNAcentral